UACGAAGGGGGCUAGCGUUGCUCGGAAUCACUGGGCGUAAAGCGCACGUAGGCGGAUUGCUAAGUCAGGGGUGAAAUCCUGGAGCUCAACUCCAGAACUGCCUUUGAUACUGGAGAGCUUGAGUCCGGAAGAGGUGAGUGGAACUCCGAGUGUAGAGGUGAAAUUCGUAGAUAUUCGGAAGAACACCAGUGGCGAAGGCGGCUCACUGGUCCGGUACUGACGCUGAGGUGCGAAAGCGUGGGGAGCAAACAGG
This 253-nucleotide ribosomal RNA is filed under the name uncultured bacterium. RNAcentral's name for it is "partial 16S ribosomal RNA". It matches the Rfam family "Bacterial small subunit ribosomal RNA", at positions 524 to 776 of the family's 1533-position model. The record is from RNAcentral.